This 465-nucleotide ribosomal RNA is filed under the name uncultured bacterium. RNAcentral's name for it is "bacterial SSU rRNA". It matches the Rfam family "Bacterial small subunit ribosomal RNA", at positions 330 to 793 of the family's 1533-position model. The record is from RNAcentral.
UCCAGACUCCUACGGGAGGCAGCAUUUAGGAAUAUUGGUCAAUGGCCGCAGUUCUGAACCAGCCAAUUCUCUUGAGGGAUGACUUUCCUAUGGAUUUUAAACCUCUUUUUUCCUGGAGCAAAUGUCUCCACGUGUUUCUUUUUGCGAGUACCUUAAGAAAAAGCAUCUUCUAACUCCUUUCCCUCAGCCGCUUGAAUACGGAGGAUGCGAUCGUUAUCCGGAUUUAUUGGGUUUAAAGGGUGCGCAGGCGGAAUGUCAAGUCAGAGGUAAAAUUUCGGGGAUCAACCCCGUCGUGCCGUUGAAACUGGCGUUCUUGAGUGAGCGAGAAGUAUGCGGAAUGCGUGGUGUAGCGGUGAAAUGCAUAGAGAUAAAGCAGAACUCCGAUUGCGAAGGCAGCAUACCGGCGCUCAACUGACGCUCAUGCACGAAAGCGUGGGUAUCGAACAGGAUUAGAUACCCCCGUAG